This 507-nucleotide ribosomal RNA is filed under the name uncultured soil bacterium. RNAcentral describes it as "bacterial SSU rRNA". It matches the Rfam family "Bacterial small subunit ribosomal RNA", at positions 8 to 510 of the family's 1533-position model. The record is from RNAcentral.
AGAGUUUGAUCAUGGCUCAGAUUGAACGCUGGCGGCAGGCCUAACACAUGCAAGUCGAGCGGUAGAGAGAAGCUUGCUUCUCUUGAGAGCGGCGGACGGGUGAGUAAUGCCUAGGAAUCUGCCUGGUAGUGGGGGAUAACGUUCGGAAACGGACACUAAUACCGCAUACGUCCUACGGGAGAAAGCAGGGGACCUUCGGGCCUUGCGCUAUCAGAUGAGCCUAGGUCGGAUUAGCUAGUUGGUGGGGUAAUGGCUCACCAAGGCGACGAUCCGUAACUGGUCUGAGAGGAUGAUCAGUCACNCUGGAACUGAGACACGGUCCAGACUCCUACGGGAGGCAGCAGUGGGGAAUAUUGGACAAUGGGCGAAAGCCUGAUCCGGCCAUGCCGCGUGCGUGAAGAAGGUCUUCGGAUUGUAAAGCACUUUAAGUUGGGAGGAAGGGUCGUAGAUUAAUACUCUGCAUUUAUGACGUUACCGACAGAAUACNCACCGGCUAACUCUGUGCCA